This 518-nucleotide ribosomal RNA is filed under the name uncultured bacterium. RNAcentral's name for it is "bacterial SSU rRNA". It matches the Rfam family "Bacterial small subunit ribosomal RNA", at positions 29 to 525 of the family's 1533-position model. The record is from RNAcentral.
AACGAACGUUGGCGGCGUGGCUUAGGCAUGCAAGUCGAACGAGAAAGUUUCCUUCGGGGAGCGAGUAUAGUGGCAAAAGGGUGAGUAAUGAUUAGUUAACCUACCCCUAAAACUAGGGAUAACUACCCGAAACGGGUUGCUAAUACCGGAUGGUCUAUGAGAGAUGCAUAUCUUUUAUUAGUAAAGGCGCUCGCAAGGGUGUCGAUUAGGGAGGGGAUUAAUUCCUAUUAGCUAGUUGGUGAGGUAAUGGCUCUACCAAGGCAUUGAUGGGUAACCGAUCUGAGAGGAUGACCGGUCACACUGGGACUGAGACACUGCCCAGACUCCUACGGGAGGCUGCAGUCGCGAAUAUUCCGCAAUGGACGCAAGUCUGACGGAGCGACGCCGCGUGUGGGAUGAAGGCCUUAGGGUUGUAAACCACUGUCACACUUUAAGAAAUCAAUUAGGGUAACUCCUAGUUGUUGACAAAGGAGUGGAAGGAAGUCACGGCUAACUACGUGCCAGCAGCCGCGGUAAGU